UACGGAGGAUCCAAGCGUUGUCCGGAUUUAUUGGGCUUAAAGGGCGCGUAGGCGGUUCUUUAAGUCAGUGGUGAAAGCCUGCAGCUUAACUGUAGAACAGCCAUUGAAACUGAAGAUCUUGAAUAUGGUUAAAGUAGGCGGAAUGUAUCAUGUAGCGGUGAAAUGCUUAGAUAUGAUACAGAACACCGAUAGCGAAGGCAGCUUGCUGAGCCAUUAUUGACGCUGAGGCACGAAAGCGUGGGGAGCGAACAGG
RNAcentral lists this ribosomal RNA (253 nucleotides) under uncultured bacterium. RNAcentral's name for it is "partial 16S ribosomal RNA". It matches the Rfam family "Bacterial small subunit ribosomal RNA", at positions 524 to 776 of the family's 1533-position model. The record is from RNAcentral.